This 200-nucleotide ribosomal RNA is filed under the name uncultured organism. RNAcentral describes it as "partial small subunit ribosomal RNA". It matches the Rfam family "Bacterial small subunit ribosomal RNA", at positions 1184 to 1382 of the family's 1533-position model. The record is from RNAcentral.
GUCAAGUCAUCAUGGCCCUUACGCCCAGGGCGACACACGUGCUACAAUGGCCGGCACAGAGGGCUGCGAACUCGCGAGAGGGAGCGAAUCCCCCAAAGCCGGUCCAAGUUCGGAUCGCAGUCUGCAACUCGACUGCGUGAAGCCGGAAUCGCUAGUAAUCGCGGAUCAGCCAUGCCGCGGUGAAUACGUUCCCGGGCCUU